GUUUGUGCAUAAUAAAGUUAAAUCAACGUUUAGUCAAAACAAUUUUCAAAUGCCCCAAGCUGGCAGCUCAAUAUCGAGCGACGUUCGUUUUCUGAAUUCCAAAUGAAGUCAUGAGCAGCAGAUUGUAUGAAAACCAACAGCAACAACGAAGGCAGCAGCUAAACAACAAGACAAAAGUCGUUGUCGCAUUAUUACAACAAGAAAAGCUGUAAAAUAAAAAAAAAAAG
RNAcentral lists this small RNA (227 nucleotides) under Drosophila virilis. RNAcentral's name for it is "GJ26324". The record is from RNAcentral. Lineage: Eukaryota; Metazoa; Arthropoda; Insecta; Diptera; Drosophilidae.